GAACGCGUUCCUCCAGCGUCUACGCAAACGCCUCCACCUCUGGGAAGCCCGUCGGGAUCUCUUUCUCCGGCUCUGCAGCCCUCGCCGCGUCCCCUCCAGACUCCGCCUCAGGUUGACUUUGCCUUUCCCACCCGCCGACCCCUGGCCAUUCCACGCAAGUCCAUCGGGCCAUCCGACUGAGACUGGAAGCCAGAGUUAGGGGAGAGGCGUGCCCCAGCCUGCAGAAAAAGAAUGACAAGCAAGGUGUUACUGCACAGGCGAGGAUACCAAGAAAUAGAGACAGUGGGAGGCUGUGCUCUCGCCAGGCUGCGCCUCCUCACCCGCUCCAUUCCUCAGGCCUUCGGGGACUCCAGCCCAUCUCCCUAAGUCCCAGGGGAGCAAAUCGAGCGCUUAUCCAUUCCUGGCCCAAAUGCACCCGGGGACCACAGGACAAGGAUCCCAGGAAUUAUAGAGUUGACACUAUCCGCCCUUCCAGCCUCGCUGCAGCCUCCCUUGCCCUGCUUCUAUGACAGUUCCACCCCAGGAGACCUGGCAACCCCAUUCCUGAGUCAGUGUUGUCCAGCACCCUCCCAAAACCUGCUCCAACUUGCCUGUUUCAAAAAUAUGGGUGUGCAUGUGCAUAUGCAUGUGUGAAUGGGGAGAAGGAAAUAUCACUGCAGGGACGCUGGAGAGCCUUGGUUGUCUGCAGUCUACCCCCACCUUGCAUGUUGCAGGUCAGACUGCGUCACUGUGCACAGCAAAAGCAGGUGUCACAGUUCCUGAGCACAGUCCAGGGAAGCACAGUGGUCUAAGGCGUGGAACCUGCUCUAGACCACACAGGACCAAUCGGAGUUCCCUGGGCUGCUCCCAGUACCAGGGGAGCUGGGGGGGAGGGGGGGCAUAGUAGACUUGGCUUCACCCAGCAGCAGAGAAUUUGCAGGCAUUUCAGGCAGGAGCCUGAGGAUCUUCCACUGCCCCUCCACCGACAAGCACCUACACACUGGGCAGAUGUUCAAGGCCUGUGACCUCUCUGCGCUUCUCUCCCAUCUGUAAAUUGCAGGGGCUGGCCUGGGGCAGGCCAAGUCAGGCUGCUCACAGGUCUUGGGGGAGUUCAUUAAAUGAUUCCUGGCCCUACCACUUCUGAAAAGCCUGUCACCCACCAUCACCUCCUUUCAUUCUCCCCAGCUCUGGCUUGGGAACUGCAGGUCAGAACUCACAGCACUGUUAAGUAGGUAAGGAGCACUGACCCAGAGUCCUAGAAAGAAAUAGGACAACUGGCCAACAUGCUUCACACACACAAACCCAGUAACACCAUUUUCCCACAAGGAAAGGAGGCAGCUCUCAAAAACAUGCCUGGCACACCCUCUCUUGCUAGUCUCCACGUGCUGCCACCAAUGCCUCAGCCUGGAGCAGUGGCCGGAGAGCGGGCCUGGACCACACACCAGCAUCUGUCUGCCAGUGGCAGGUGCUGAGGAGUCCUCGGGUGAUCCUUAGGGCUCUAUUCCCGAAGGGAGGGGCAGGGACCAGGGGCUCUAGGCUGUAGGUCUCUGGGGGAUGGAAAGGGACUUGAAAGGCCUGGCCCUCAAAGGAGCUGGCCCCUGCUCCAUCCUAGCUGGCCAAGGGUGGGCCAUACAGAGAAGAGGUGGCUGACUGGGACCUCAUGAAUGGGAGACCCUCAUCUCUCAGGAGCUGGGUUAAUGGGGCAUUGGGGGUGGGGCUGCUGGUGUGGAUGAGGCAAGUGGGGGAAGGGAAGUAGGCUCAGGCAUUUCAAAAAUUUGCUCCUUUCCACUUAAACACCCCCCCCCAAGCCUGUGCCUCCCAGAAUGGCAUUUCCGGUUUGAAAGGAGGCCCCAGGAUGUGUUUGGGGGAGGGGCACCCACUAAGUUGGCUCUGGCUGGGGUACUGGGGCCAGGACCUCACACUACCCUGUUGGGUCUCUCAGGCCCUGCGGCUGCCAAGGAGUACUGACAGGAGGCAGCCCUGUGCGCCAGACCCACCCAGAAGGGACAGAGCUGGCAGCCAGGGGAGGGCAACGGGACUGCGGGGCCACCAUGACAGCUCUGCAGCAUGGCACUGGUGAGGGUUACAGUAGGGACAUGGCACUCCAAGGGUACCUGGGGCUUUAAGCCAAAGUCACAUUCUGAGACUCAACCCACCCACUCCACCUCAACAAACAAAGCUGCCCUCCCCACAGGGCCAGCACCACUCCCACCCCCACUGCUGGCUGGGUGGGACCUCAGAGGUGGUGGACAGACUGGCCAGGCUGAAGGAAUCUGUGGCUGCCCCAGGAACGGGUUGUGGAGCCAUGCACAUGUGUGGCCAUGUAGGGGACCAGCAGCAAGGAUCAGGGCCCCAGCAACAAAGCUGGCAGAAGGCUCUGCUGGAGAAGCACAGAAGCACAGCCAGGCGCCGCUCUCCCGGACAGCUGUCAGUCAUCCCAGGAGUGCCUCUCACCAGAUGUGUGGAGAUGUCGCAACCUGUAGGGCCUGAAUUAGUUACCCGUGCAGGAACAUGUGGGCCUAGCACAUGGGGACACUGACUCUCACUGCCCACAGUGGACUCCAGUGGGAGAGAUGCCUAGGGUAGGGCUUAUGCCAUCUGGGCUUUCUGAGGUCUCAGCUUUGGUACAGAUCCACUGCACAAAAGAACCACUCCUUGCUUGGUGCCUAAAAAUGCCCAGGGCAGCAUGUAUGCAAGCAAAAAUGGAGAGAAGCAUAAGUCAACGGUCAACUCCAAGGGACUCUUAGACAAACCAGGACCUCAAGGGAAAACAGGCCAUGAAAAGAGCGACUUGCAAGGACCAAAAAAUGUAGGACAAUGCUUAUGACUGAGCAAAAUGCAGACCUAAAACAACCUGCAUGGUUCGACAACACACAACCCUGCCUCUCCCAAGGCUUGGGCUUGCCUGCAGCACAAGGUGGUGUGCUGGAUGUUCCCUGACAGGCAGCUCUGGAAGCGGAAGCAGGAAAGGAUUUCCUGAAGCCGGAGAUGCCCACAGAGGGGCAGAACGGAGUCACCAUCCCACUCUGCUGGAGUCAGCAAGUCAGGGGACCAGCAGGGUCACAGAGGAGGACCCAGAGGCUCUGCGAUGCAAGCACAGGAAGGAGUAAACUCAGAGAAGACAGCCAUGGCAGCCCCUCCUGGACAUUCUCGCCCCCACCGGGCCCGUUCCAGCCCAAGGAGAAGCGCACUGCUGGCCCCAGGAGAUCCAGGACCAGGCCCUUGCCCAGGUUUAGCCUGUGAGGACAGGAGCAGAUACUGAUCACUGCUACUAGUCGUGUCACCCUUAGCCACCCUUAGACUCUCAGGGCCCCAGUUUGCAUAUGGGUUUAGUGUAAGCUCCUUUAGCAGCUGUGCCCAUCCCCGGGCCCUGGGACCCACAGCACGUGCAGGCUGUCCAGGGCACACGGUACCCAGUGUCGUGCUCCAGCUGCACUCCCACACCUGCACACAACACAUCCAGUCCCCGGAGGGACACCAGGGCACACAGAGGUACACAAGCCCAUCCCUGUCACUCACACCUGUAGACACAGCAGCCACAGCAUGCCAGGUGGGGAGCUGGAUAGGGCUGUGCAGCCAGUCCCAGCCUCAGAAUGCUUAUACUCCAGGCGGGGGGCGGGGGCAUGAACAGAUGAACAUUCAUUUGUUGUGGUGACAAGGAGGACUCUGAGGGAGAACAAAGGAGACAGCAAAGUGACAGCACUCCCCUAUUUUAAUACAAGGUGGUUGGGGAACCUCUCUAAGGAAGUGGCAUUUGAACAGAUGUGUGAACCUUCUGCUAAGGCUCCUUAUGCAGAGAAACUAACAAUGAACAUGGUAAAAAUAGCACAGGCAGGCUGCUCUUUUCCCCAGUGGGAGGAGCCCAAGCAGCAGCAGAGAGGCCUGGGGACUUGAUGUCCAGGGGGCUCUCAAUAUAGUCUCCCCCCCAAUCCAAAAGUCACCCACCUGGCCCCUCUAAAGUGGUAACAACGAAGCAACUGAAUGAGGCUCUAGAAAAAAAUCAACAGUCCCUCCCCAGCUCUGUGUGUGUGUAUGCACAUGGGUGUACAUGUGUGUUGAGACAAGAGUCUCACACGGCUGGCCUUGAACUCAUGACAAUCCUCCUGCCUCAGCUUCCCAAAGUCUGGGAUUAUAGGCGUGAACCACCACACAGCCCUCCCCAGAGGUUUGCUUGUUUAAAUAAACAAACAAACAAACAGAA
Long non-coding RNA from Cavia porcellus (domestic guinea pig), 4180 nucleotides. RefSeq lists it as uncharacterized. The transcript has 2 exons. The record is from RefSeq and is a predicted model, not a curated record. Lineage: Eukaryota; Metazoa; Chordata; Mammalia; Rodentia; Caviidae.